GAAAAUACGAAGAAAGAGACAGAAGAUAAUUAGGAGCUUAGAGAGAAGCCGUGGGUGGUGAAAACGGUUAAGCAAGUGUUAUCUUGAAUCACUCUGGAGUAGCAUCCUGAAAUAAGUAGGGAUCGCCGCAAGUCGCGUUAAGACAAAGAGGCAUCUGACAAGAUGUAAAUUAAGGUGGUACCGCGUUUAAGACGUCCUUUUG
This 202-nucleotide non-coding RNA is filed under the name Sharpea azabuensis. RNAcentral describes it as "T-box sequence". It matches the Rfam family "T-box leader". Rfam says of the family: Uncharged tRNA acts as the effector for transcription antitermination of genes in the T-box leader family. T-boxes are found upstream of many aminoacyl-tRNA synthetase genes and some amino acid biosynthetic genes usually in Gram-positive bacteria. The record is from RNAcentral. Lineage: Bacteria; Bacillati; Bacillota; Erysipelotrichia; Erysipelotrichales; Coprobacillaceae.